AAACCAAAUACAAUAUGGUGGCGGAUGAAGUUGUUUUUGUUCGGUUCGGGAAACUUCCAAAGGAAAGACCACGAAAAACUGUGUUGAGCAAAGAGGGGCAGAGAUGUCUAGCACAUCAACUCCUAGAGCACAUCAAGCCUGCCUGUGGUUACCAUUGCAAUGUCACACUUCUGUUCCUGGAUGCAACAAGGAGAACUUUUGGCAUUGGUGACAGUAUAAAUAUUGGAUUAAACUAACAAAGUUGCACUUUUUAUCUCAACAUAA
Molecule: long non-coding RNA, 264 nt
Organism: Nematostella vectensis (starlet sea anemone)
Lineage: Eukaryota; Metazoa; Cnidaria; Anthozoa; Actiniaria; Edwardsiidae
Exons: 2
Source: RefSeq, a predicted model, not a curated record